RNAcentral lists this non-coding RNA (174 nucleotides) under Hypsibius dujardini. RNAcentral's name for it is "Eukaryotic large subunit ribosomal RNA". It matches the Rfam family "Eukaryotic large subunit ribosomal RNA", at positions 2629 to 2802 of the family's 3401-position model. Lineage: Eukaryota; Metazoa; Tardigrada; Eutardigrada; Parachela; Hypsibiidae. The record is from Rfam by way of RNAcentral.
GAGGGUACAUCUUUCAAACGGUAACGCAGGUGUCCUAAGGCAAGCUCAGCGAGGGCAGAAACUUCGCGUAGAGCAAAAGGGCAAAAGCUUGCUGGAUUUUGAUUUUCCGUACGAAUACAGACUGUGAAAGCGUGGCCUGUUGAUCCUUUUGACUUUAAGAGUUUUAAGCAAGAG